RNAcentral lists this long non-coding RNA (251 nucleotides) under Penaeus japonicus. RNAcentral's name for it is "uncharacterized LOC122246736". Lineage: Eukaryota; Metazoa; Arthropoda; Malacostraca; Decapoda; Penaeidae. The record is from RNAcentral.
GGCAGCAACACCGCAAAGUACACCGUCUCAAGCACCAACAUGCUCUCCAAGGUCAUAGUGGCACUUGCAAUCGUCAGUGUGGCUGUCUCACUGCCGUCCGGCAGUUAUGGCGAUAUACCAUACCAGUACUCGUACAACGUGAAGGAUGAGUACGCAGGCGCAGACUUUGGCCAUACCGAAGACUCCAACGGUAAAAGUGCCCAGGGCUCUUUCUACGUCCAGCUCCCCGACGGUCGCAGGCAAACGGUAAA